GAUUCAAUCAUGUACACCUAGACAUCA
RNAcentral lists this small RNA (27 nucleotides) under Bombyx mori (domestic silkworm). RNAcentral describes it as "ovarian small RNA-16184". The record is from RNAcentral. Lineage: Eukaryota; Metazoa; Arthropoda; Insecta; Lepidoptera; Bombycidae.